Molecule: RNase MRP RNA, 263 nt
Filed under: Helianthus annuus (common sunflower)
Lineage: Eukaryota; Viridiplantae; Streptophyta; Magnoliopsida; Asterales; Asteraceae
Description: sRNA HanXRQr2_Chr16g0750711
Rfam family: RNase MRP
About the family: RNase MRP is an enzymatically active ribonucleoprotein with two distinct roles in eukaryotes. In mitochondria it plays a direct role in the initiation of mitochondrial DNA replication. In the nucleus it is involved in precursor rRNA processing, where it cleaves the internal transcribed spacer 1 between 18S and 5.8S rRNAs.
Source: Rfam by way of RNAcentral
AGACCAACGGACGAUGUGAUUGGGCUUCGAACCACUCAGUGGUUUAUGCUCAGGAAAGUCCCCGGGCCCAUUACCGCAGAGAUGCGGGCCUGGAAACAGGUUAUGCUUCGAAGCAAAUGAAUCAUGUUGGGCCAGAAAUGGUUCGACGGGCUGAGACCAGUGUGUGGAGCCUUAUGGAUUCUAGCUCGAAGUUAAUUUGGCCGAUGUCAGUCAUUCACAUGGUCCUUUGUGACUAACUGAACGGGGCUUAUGAUCCGUUGGUC